AGUUCGGAUUGGAGUCUGNAACCCGACUCCAUGAAGCUGGAUUCGCUAGUAAUCGCGCAUCAGCCACGGCGCGGUGAAUACGUUCCCGGGCCUUGUACACACCGCCCGUCAAGCCAUGGAAGCCGGGAGUGCCUGAAGUGCGUGAGCGCAAGCAGCGCCCUAAGGUAAAACCGGUGACUGGGGCUAAGUCGUAACAAGGUAGC
Molecule: ribosomal RNA, 203 nt
Filed under: uncultured bacterium
Lineage: Bacteria
Description: partial 16S ribosomal RNA
Rfam family: Bacterial small subunit ribosomal RNA
Source: RNAcentral